ACUGGGAUUAGAUACCCCACUAUGCUUAGCCCUAAACACAAAUAAUUAUAUCAACAAAAUUAUUCGCCAGAGUACUACCGGCAAUAGCCUAAAACUCAAAGGACUUGGCGGUGCUUUAUACCCUUCUAGAGGAGCCUGUUCUAUAAUCGAUAAACCCCGAUAAACCUUACCACCCCUUGCUAAUUCAGUCUAUAUACCGCCAUCUUCAGCAAACCCUAAAAAGGAAUAAAAGUAAGCUUAAUCAUUUUACAUAAAAACGUUAGGUCAAGGUGUAACCUAUGGGGUGGAAAGAAAUGGGCUACAUUUUCUAACUUAAGAAAAUCUAUCACGAAAAUUAUUAUGAAAAUUAAUAAUUAAAGGAGGAUUUAGCAGUAAACUAAGAAUAGAGUGCUUAGUUGAAUUAGGCCAUGAAGCACGCACACACCGCCCGUCACCCUCCUCAAAUAAACACAAUAUUCCUAAACUUAUUAAUACAUAUAAUUCCUAUGAGAGGAGACAAGUCGUAACAAGGUAAGCAUACUGGAAAGUGUGCUUGGAUAAA
This 541-nucleotide ribosomal RNA is filed under the name Alces alces (Eurasian elk). RNAcentral describes it as "partial 12S ribosomal RNA". It matches the Rfam family "Bacterial small subunit ribosomal RNA", at positions 771 to 1523 of the family's 1533-position model. The record is from RNAcentral. Lineage: Eukaryota; Metazoa; Chordata; Mammalia; Artiodactyla; Cervidae.